UGGGGGAUAUUGCACAAUGGGCGAAAGCCUGAUGCAGCGACGCCGCGUGGGGGAUGAAGGCUUUCGGGUUGUAAACCUCUUUCGCUAUCGAACAAGGCCCGCUUAGGGUGGGUUGAGGGUAGGUGGAGAAGAAGCGCCGGCUAACUACGUGCCAGCAGCCGCGGUAAUACGUAGGGCGCGAGCGUUGUCCGGAAUUAUUGGGCGUAAAGGGCUUGUAGGCGGCUUGUUGCGCCUGCUGUGAAAACGCGGGGCUUAACUUCGCGCGUGCAGUGGGUACGGGCAGGCUUGAGUGUGGUAGGGGUGACUGGAAUUCCAGGUGUAGCGAUGGAAUGCGCAGAUAUCUGGAGGAACACCGAUGGCGAAGGCAGGUCACUGGGCCAUUACUGACGCUGAGGAGCGAAAGCAUGGGUAGCGAACAGG
RNAcentral lists this ribosomal RNA (420 nucleotides) under bacterium. RNAcentral's name for it is "partial 16S ribosomal RNA". It matches the Rfam family "Bacterial small subunit ribosomal RNA", at positions 355 to 776 of the family's 1533-position model. RNAcentral also lists the same sequence under 1 other name. The record is from RNAcentral.